This 742-nucleotide ribosomal RNA is filed under the name uncultured Campylobacterota bacterium. Its description in RNAcentral is "bacterial SSU rRNA". It matches the Rfam family "Bacterial small subunit ribosomal RNA", at positions 9 to 779 of the family's 1533-position model. Lineage: Bacteria; Pseudomonadati; Campylobacterota. The record is from RNAcentral.
GAGUUUGAUCUCGUUUAAGAAUGAACGCUGGCGGCGUGCUUAACACAUGCAAGUCGAACGGUAACAGAGGAAGCUUGCUUCCUGCUUCCGAGUGGCGCACGGGUGAGUAAUAUAUAGGUUACGUGCCUCUUAGACUGGGAUAGCCACUGGAAACGGUGAUUAAUACUAGAUACUCCUACUUGUAGGGAAAGCUUUUGCGCUAAGAGAUCGGCCUAUACUGUAUCAGCUUGUUGGUGGGGUAAUGGCCUACCAAGGCAAUGACACAUAGCGGGUUUGAGAGGAUGAUCCGCCACACUGGUACUGAGACACGGACCAUAUUCCUACGGGAGGCAGCAGUGAGGAAUAUUGCACAAUGGAGGAAACUCUGAUGCAGCAACGCCGCGUGGAGGAUGACGCAUUUCGGUGUGUAAACUCCUUUUAACAGGGAAGACAUGACGGUACCUGUUGAAUAAGCGCCGGCUAACUCCGUGCCAGCAGCCGCGGUAAUACGGAGGGCGCAAGCGUUAUUCGGAAUCACUGGGCGUAAAGGACGCGUAGGCGGGUUAUUAAGUCAGGUGUGAAAUCCUACAGCUUAACUGUAGAACUGCACUUGAAACCGAUAACCUAGAGUAUGGAAGGGGCAGAUGGAAUUAGUGGUGUAGGGGUAAAAUCCGUAGAUAUCACUAGGAAUACCGAAAGCGAAGGCGAUCUGCUGGGACAUUACUGACGCUAAGGCGUGAAAGCGUGGGGAGCAAACAGGAUU